This 466-nucleotide ribosomal RNA is filed under the name uncultured bacterium. Its description in RNAcentral is "partial 16S ribosomal RNA". It matches the Rfam family "Bacterial small subunit ribosomal RNA", at positions 28 to 507 of the family's 1533-position model. The record is from RNAcentral.
GAUGAACGCUGGCGGCGUGCUUAACACAUGCAAGUCGAACGAUGAAGCCCAGCUUGCUGGGUGGAUUAGUGGCGAACGGGUGAGUAACACGUGAGUAACCUGCCCUUGACUCUGGGAUAAGCCUGGGAAACUGGGUCUAAUACUGGAUAUGACUUCUCAUCGCAUGGUGGGGGGUGGAAAGAUUUAUUGGUCUUGGAUGGACUCGCGGCCUAUCAGCUUGUUGGUGAGGUAAUGGCUCACCAAGGCGACGACGGGUAGCCGGCCUGAGAGGGUGACCGGCCACACUGGGACUGAGACACGGCCCAGACUCCUACGGGAGGCAGCAGUGGGGAAUAUUGCACAAUGGGCGCAAGCCUGAUGCAGCGACGCCGCGUGAGGGAUGACGGCCUUCGGGUUGUAAACCUCUUUCAGUAGGGAAGAAGCGAGAGUGACGGUAUCUGCAGAAGAAGCGCCGGCUAACUACGUG